RNAcentral lists this ribosomal RNA (467 nucleotides) under uncultured bacterium. RNAcentral describes it as "partial 16S ribosomal RNA". It matches the Rfam family "Bacterial small subunit ribosomal RNA", at positions 28 to 507 of the family's 1533-position model. The record is from RNAcentral.
GACGAACGCUGGCGGCGUGCUUAACACAUGCAAGUCGAACGGAAAGGCUCCAGCUUGCUGGAGUACUCGAGUGGCGAACGGGUGAGUAACACGUGGGUAAUCUGCCCUGCACUCUGGGAUAAGCCUGGGAAACUGGGUCUAAUACUGGAUAUUACCUUUCUCCUUAUGGUGUUUGGUGGAAAGUUUUUCGGUGUAGGAUGAGCCCGCGGCCUAUCAGCUUGUUGGUGGGGUGAUGGCCUACCAAGGCGACGACGGGUAGCCGGCCUGAGAGGGUGAUCGGCCACAUUGGGACUGAGAUACGGCCCAGACUCCUACGGGAGGCAGCAGUGGGGAAUAUUGCACAAUGGGCGGAAGCCUGAUGCAGCGACGCCGCGUGAGGGAUGACGGCCUUAGGGUUGUAAACAUCUGUCAGCAGGGACGAAGCGUAAGUGACGGUACCUGCAGAAGAAGCACCGGCUAACUAUGUG